GGUUAGGUGAGGGGAAAUAAUCCCGUCUCCCCUAUAGUGACCCUACUUGGGUCUGCGGGGAGCGGGGAAUGCACGGGCCUUCGCCCACCGGACACGCUCCCCCGGCCCCCAUGGAUCACUAAUUUGUGUUUAAGGUUUGUAUUUAAUUUGGUUUUAGUGUGUUGUGUAACAUGAUUGUUGUUUAAUUAAUCUCUUUUUUUAGGUUAUUGAUUGUUUUUGUACACACAAACACACAAACAAACAGACAAACAGGUACAUGAACACACAUGAACUAUGUACAAUUGGUGUGCAUCGCGACGACGUUUCGACCUUAUUUGGUCUUCAUCAGGUCUAUGCACACAUGUCCUGUUUUCCCUUUUAUACCCUUUGGACAAGAAAUUAACUGAAUUUCUCUCGGAUAUUUAGUUUAAAUUCAACUCUAUUUAGUUUGUAAAAUGUUAACCCUUUAAUCGCUGUUUGGUUUUUAAUUCUGAAUAAUAUAUUUAUAUUUCUCCUGUGGUUAGGCUUAAACUGACCAGUAGGGUUAGGGUUAGGGUCAGUAUUAGGGUUAGGGUUCAAAUCCGAGGCUAGGGCUAGGGUUAGGCUUAGGGUUAGGGCCACGGUUGGGGCUAGAUCAAGCGCUAGGGUUAGGGUUUAGGGCUAGCGCGACGGUUAGGGUUAGGGUCAGGGCCACGGUUUGGGCUACAUCAAGCGCUAGGGUUAGGGUUAGGGCCCUCAUAAUGGUUAGGGUUAGGGCCAGGGCCACGGUUGGGGCUAGAAAUGAAUCCCGUCUCUCCUAUAGUGACCCUACUUGGGUCUGCGGGGAGCGGGAAUUGCUAAAGCGCCAGGAUCAGGGUUAGGAUUAGUAGCACUUUAUUUAGGCUUUGCAGGUUGGGGACCGAGGAAACGCACCAGCGAUGGAUGAGGCACUGGCUGGUAAGGUGAGGGGAAAUAAUCCCGUCUCCCCUAUAGUGACCCUACUUGGGUCUGCGGGGAGCGGGGAAUGCACGGGCCUUUGCCCACCGGACACGCUCCCCCGGCCCCCAUGGAUCACUAAUUUGUGUUUAAGGUUUGUAUUUAAUUUGGUUUUAGUGUGUUGUGUAACAUGAUUGUUGUUUAAUUAAUCUCUUUUUUUAGGUUAUUGAUUGGGUUAGGGUUAGGGGGUUAGGGUUAGGGUUAGGGGUUAGGGUUUAGGGUUAGGGUUAGGGUUUAGGGUUAGGGUUAGGGGUUAGGGUUAGGGUUAGGGUGAGGGGACUCUGUCCCGUCUCCCAUAAGGAGCGGGGAAUGCGCUGGCCUUCCCCCAUCCGUACCCGUCCCUACGGUCCCAAGACUGCUGGCGGAAACGUCGAGCCCUCUGGCCGUAUCUGACUUCCGUCCAGCCUUGAUUGUAGCCACUCAUGUUGGAGUGGCUAUUGAAAUGUUUUUAUUUAUUUAAAAUAUUGGUUUGUUUAAAGAAAUAAAAGACUGAUUUUUACCUAUAAAAGGAAACCUAUCUGUAUUAACAAAGGAAACUUAACUUCAAAUUUAAACUUUUCUUAAAAUAAAAUGCUGAUUGUUUUAAUAAAAAGUAAAAUAAAAUGUAUUUCCAACUUUUUAAAAAUGUUUUAAAAUAUUUUUUGAUGUUUUUUAAGUUUUUAUCAAGUUUUUAAAUUUUUUUAGAUUUUUUUAGUUAUUUUUUUAACUUUUUUACAAAAUAAACUAUGUACAAUGAAAUAUGUGUGCCCACGACAACGUUUCGACCUCCUGUGGGUCUUCCUCAGGUCUCUUGGCACACAACAAAGAAAGAAACAAAAAAAACUGUGACUUGAAUGGUCAAACAAAAGCUGCUGGCUGGUAAUGCUUAAGAUGUUGUCUCAUCAAGAGUCUGCAUGGUUUGGGUGAGGGGAUUGCCCCCUGCAGCCCACAAGGGGCCAAAAAUGCACGGGCCUUCUUCCUCAACGGAACGCCUCCCCAGUCCCGAAAAGGCUGGUGGAGACGCUGGCCUUUCGUGUCAUGCCGUACUUCCGUCCAGCCGUGUUCAUAGCCACUCAUGCUGGAGUGGCUUCAAGAGGUAAGUUUUAAGAUGAUUAGUGUUUUUUACUGUUUUUAAAUGUUUUUUUAAAAUGUUUUUAAACUUCUUUAGUGUUUUUAAAUGUUUUUUAAUUUUUUUAUUGUUUUUUUUAAGGUUUUUUACACACACAAUAAGAUACUAUACAUGAACUUUGAAUGAACUAUGUACAAAAAACAAUGUGUGCCCAAUUAAACGACGUUUCGACCUUAAUUAGGUCUUCUUCAGGUAAAGGCACACAAUGAAAUAAAUGAAAGAGCUGCUGGUCAAUGAUUUUUUGGUUGUUCACCAGGCAAGCGUCUGAGCGAGAGUGAAUUGUCCCUGCCCACUUCUCUAUAUUUAUGCUCUCAGGUAAGAAAUAAAAGGAAAUACUUGUGAAUAAAGAAAAAUUGCUGGCUGCUAAAUAACUGUUGUUCACCAAGCAACUGUCUGAAAAAGAAUGAAUAUUCCCCGCCCACUUGUCUGUUUUAUAGUCCCUGUCAAAUAAUUAAAUGAAUUUCUUGUAUUUUCCAUAUUAAUUAUGUACUGUUUUUAGUUUAAACUUUUAACCCUUAGACCACUAUUUAUUCUUUUAACCUUUUAACAUGAAAUAUAUAGAGAGAACCGAAAUGUAUUUAUUUAUUUAUUUAUUUAUUAUCGAAGUAAUAUGUUUAUUCUUAGCCUAGGGUUAGGGUUAGGGUUACCACUAGGGUUAGGGUUAGUGCCAGAUUAGGGUUAGGGUUAGGGUUAGUGCCAGAUUAGGGUUAGUGGUUAGGGUUAGGGUUAGGGCCAGAUUAGGGUUAGUGGUUAGGGUUAGGGUUAGGGCCAGAUUAGGGUUAGUGGUUAGGGUUAGGGCCAAAUUAGGGCCAGUGGUUAGGGUUAGUGGUUAGUGUUAGGGUUAGGGGUUAGGGGUUAGGGUUAGGGUUAGGGUUAGGGGUUAGGGUUAGGGUUAGGUUUGGGUGAGGGGAUUGCCCCCUGCAGCCCACAAGGGGCCAAAAAUGCACGGGCCUUCUUCCUCAACGGAACGCCUCCCCAGUCCCGAAAAGGCUAGGGUUAGGGUUAGGGUUAGGGUUAGGUUUGGGGAAUGAAUCCUGUCUUCCAUAGGGGGCGGGAAAUGCACGGGCCUUCCCUCGACUGGACACGUUCCCCCGGUCCCGGAAUGGCUGGCGGAAGCGCUGGCCUUUACGGCCAAAGCGGACCUCCGUCCAGCCGUCAAAGCCACUCCUGCGUGGAGUGGCCAUCAUACUUUGUUUUAAGAUUUUUAUAUGUUUAAAUUAAAAUUGUGAUUUUAUCCCACAGAAAUAAAUGAAAUAAAACUCUUUCUUAAACAAAAUUGUGAUUUCCUUAUUGUUUUUUAUAAAGAUUUUACUUAAAUGAGAUUAUGAUUGUUUUUAUAGAGAUGCUGUUUGUAAUACAAAAUAAAAUAACUGUUUUUAAACCCUUUCUUAAAAUAAAAUGUUGAUUUUGUUCUUAUUUGAACUUCUUAAUUAACUAAAACUGUGAUUAAAUACCCUCAAAAUAAACUGUUUGUAACUGUGUUUACAUUUUUUUGUAUUUUUUUUAUUUUUUUGUAUUUUUUUGUUUUUUAAUUUUUUUAGAAUGUUUUUAUUUGUUUUUCACAAUGAUAACUAUUCUUAGCAUUCCUAUUGUGUGCCUAUGAUGCUACGUUUCGACCUGUAUCGGUCUUCCUCAGGCCAAGGCACACACAAUAAAGCAAACAGUGGUAGAAAGUAGGUCUUUACUUAGUGGCUGUCAGAGUGAAAAUGAAUUUUCCUCCUCUGCUCUGCCUUUUAUACUUGCCAAAAGAAAAUUACCAUGAAUUUACUUAUUUUUUAACUAAAUUAUAAACCCUUUUUCUAUUUACUCUUUUAACCCUUUAGCACCCUUGUAGAUAAUUUACCAUGUAAUAUAUGCUCUUAUUUAUAUAAGUAUUUAUUUAUUUAUUUAUUUAUUUAUUAACCCCCUAUGGUUAGGGUUAGGGUUUGACCUAGGGUUAGGGUUAGGGUUAGGGUUAGGGUUAGGGUUAGAGCCCAAGCUAGGGUUAGGGUUAGGGCUAGGGUUAGGGUUAGGGUUAGGGCUAGGGUUAGGGUUAGAGCCCAGGUUAGGGCUAGGGCUAGGGUUAGGGCAAGAGCCCAAGCUAGGGUUAGGGUUAGGGUUAGGGGGGGUUAGGGUUAGGGUUAGGUGAGGGGAAAUAAUCCCGUCUCCCCUAUAGUGACCCUACUUGGGUCUGCGGGGAGCGGGGAAUGCACGGGCCUUCGCCCACUGGACACGCUCCCCCGGCCCCCAUGGAUCACUAAUUUGUGUUUAAGGUUUGUAUUUGAUUUAGUUUUGGUGUGUUGUGUAACAUGAUUGUUGUUUAAUUAAUCUCUUUUUUAGGUUAUUAAUUGUUUUUAUACACACAAACACACAAACAAACAAACAAACAGGUACAUGAUCAACACAUGAACUAUGUACAGUUGGUGUGCAUUGCGACAACGUUUGGACCUAGUUUGGUCCUCUUCAGGUCUAUGCACACAUAAAUUUCAUAGCUGCUGGGCCCCAAUUCAUAGGGGUUUACCCAGUCAGCAUCCAAAUGAAAAUGAAUAUUCCCUGUCCUGUUUUCCCUUUUAUACCCUUUGGUGAAGAAAAUAACUGAUUUUCUCUCGGAUAUUUAGUUUUAUUUAACUUAAUUUAAGGCUGUAUUUAGUUUGUAAUAUUAACCCUUUAUUCCCCUGCUAGGGUUAGGGUUAGGGUUAGGGUUAGAAUCCGAGGCUAGGGCUAGGGUUAGGGUUAGGGUUAAGGCCACGGUUGGGGCUAGAUGGCGUUAGGGUUAGGGCCCUCAUAAUGGUUAGGGUUAGGGCCAGGGCCACAGUUGGGGCUAGAUAAAGCACUAGGGUUAGGGUUAGGGCCCUCAUAAUGGUUAGGGUUAGGGCCAGGGCCACGGUUGGGGCUAGAAAUGAAUCCCGUCUCUCCUAUAGUGACCCUACUUGGGUCUGCGGGGAGCGGGAAAUGCUAAAGCGCCAGGAUCAGGGUUAGGAUUAGUACUCUUUAUUUAGGCUUUGCAGGUUGGGGACCGAGGAAACGCACCCGCGAUGGACGAGGCACUGGCUGGUAAGGUGAGGGGAAAUAAUCCCGUCUCCCCUAUAGUGACCCUACUUGGGUCUGCGGGGAGCGGGGAAUGCACGGGCCUUCGCCCACUGGACACGCUCCCCCGGCCCCCAUGGAUCACUAAUUUGUGUUUAAGGUUUGUAUUUGAUUUAGUUUUGGUGUGUUGUGUAACAUGAUUGUUGUUUAAUUAAUCUCUUUUUUAGGUUAUUAAUUGUUUUUAUACACACAAACACACAAACAAACAAACAAACAGGUACAUGAUCAACACAUGAACUAUGUACAGUUGGUGUGCAUCGCGACAACGUUUCGACCUAGUUUGGUCUUCUUCAGGUCUAUGCACACAUAAAUUUCAUAGCUGCUGGGCCCCAAUUCAUAGGGGUUUACCCAGUCAGCAUCCAAAUGAAAAUGAAUAUUCCCUGUCCUGUUUUCCCUUUUAUACCCUUUGGUGAAGAAAAUAACUGAUUUUCUCUCGGAUAUUUAGUUUUAUUUAACUUAAUUUAAGGCUGUAUUUAGUUUGUAAUAUUAACCCUUUAUUCCCCUGCUAGGGUUAGGGUUAGGGUUAGGGUUAGAAUCCGAGGCUAGGGCUAGGGUUAGGGUUAGGGUUAAGGCCACGGUUGGGGCUAGAUGGCGCUAGGGUUAGGGUUAGGGCCCUCAUAAUGGUUAGGGUUAGGGCCAGGGCCACAGUUGGGGCUAGAUUAAGCACUAGGGUUAGGGUUAGAACUUCCUGUUCUUUAAAAUCUUGAACAUACUGAAUAAACUGAAACACCAAAGACAUGCAGCUCAACCAAACCGGUUUAAUUUUGUGGCGUGAAAGCAUCACACUGUCUGUGUUCGUCUUUUCUUGCAGCUUUAUUUUUCUGUUUUUUUUCUCUGGAGUUUGGUGCGUUAAGCUCUCAGCUCCACAGUGUGUGACUGUGUAUCAGACCAAAAAGGACGGGGGACGCUCCUCUGCUAUGGUGGAUGUUCCGCUUUGGCUGCAGAUGAUAUUGUUCCUGACACUUCUUUCGUGGCCACAGUCAGCCCAACCCCCAGAAUCCAUCAGCUCAGAAACACACACACAGUGUGCAGGCCAAGUCCGGCCCUGUUAACACUCAUUUGCAGCAGAGGCGGAUGUCAACAGAGGUUAUUAAUAUUCGGCUAAUCUAAUGAUGAUUUUCAUAUGAGCCACAUGAAAUCUCCUCCUCGCACCGUCUCGUCCUCCUGUUUCUCUCGGCGUCGUUUCCCUCGCCGCUCUCAUCUGUUCAUCUACGGCGUGUUUUCAGAUGCCAGGCUUCCCUCCUUCCCCAGCUACGCCUCCAUCACCUGCUCAUUAGAGAGUGGAUGAUGGUCCGACGGUCCCCCAUGACUCUGCUCCAAAAAUAACAGAGCCAAUUUCCCGCCUGUUAGGCGGCGAUUUCACACCAAUCUGAGUUGCACUGCCAACUCGGCCUGUCAGAGCGGAGAGAGCGGAGGAAUAAAGUGGAGAAGAAAAGCAAUGCAAUAAAAUGAAAAAUGUAGGUCAGGGUGUAAUGUGUCAGGAAAUACACAUUUUUUAUCCCACAGACACACUGACCCCAUCAGUCAGCAGAGGUGGAGGGAACAUUAUCUCAACAGCUACUAAAACCCGAGCUAUUUCAGACUUUUAUACUGGAAGUGGGACAACAAACACGGACUAACGCGGUCGAAAAUGUGAAUUAUUGAGCAGAGAUGAAAAAAAAACUCGUGUAGAAAUGGACGCAGGAUGAGCUUCACAGGUUUCUGGACUGACUGCUGCAAUGAAAAGAGCGGACAGCAUCCUCCUGUCUUCAGAGUUGAAGGUAAAUAUCUCCAUCAAUGUCACUGUGUCACCUGCUGCAGCGUCAGGUCAGCUAUAACCCCCAUCUCCCCCCUCCCCCGCCCGCUCUCCCUCUCUGCACCACUUUUAUGAGCUGUGCGCCCACAUGUGACCCUGACAGACAGAGGCCUGUGUCUCACUGCGCGUCUGUGUGACUUGGAGGGUUGAAUCAGUCGAGCUAAUUUCCCAGAAGUUUGUCGGCUUUAUUUUGUGCAAACAUUUGAAAAUAUAUCAGGAGUAUUUGUUCAGAAUUAUCACCUCGGGCCGCGUGUUUGACUUUCUGUAUUUCUGUAGCUGUUAGGCUCGUUAAAGAGAAGGAAAAUAAGAUGCAGGGGAACAGCGUAUCAUGAAAAAAAAGCCGUGCAAAUCUGUAUAAACAGAGGAAUAUUUAAAAGGCAAAUGACUGCACAGAGCAGUUUUGUCCUCUUUCGAUCAGUGUAGAUGUUCUUGUUCCCGCAUCAUGAGGGACGGAGCGAACGCCAACACCCCGGGCUGCCUAAUGGAGCAACUUGAUUAAAUGUGCAGCGUGAGUGUGAAUGUGAAUAAUUUGUCUCCCCGCAACUCUCCUCUUUCACUCGACAGAAAUUCCAAUUAGAGACUCUUCCCCUCCUCCUUCACGAGCCGCAGCGUCGUAUUUUAUUCAUCCGUUUGGCAAACGCUGAAAGUGAAAGUGAAUUAACUUUGAGGCAUGAUUCCUCCAACGCCUGACCUGGAAGUCUCCUGGAUUUUUUCUCCAUACAGUUAGAAAGUUGCACGAUUGAAGAGAAACAACGUAAAGGGAGGCCGUCAGAGCACUUGUUCGAGUUUUUGUGCACAAGAUACUUUGAGUUUUAAGACUGCUUAAAACCGUUAUUGUUAAUGCAAACCAUAGAUAGAAACCCAAACAGCAAAUCUGUACGAGACCAUAAUCUAACAACUUGUCUUCUCUGCAUCCUUUAGUCGUCCUUGAGUGUCCUUUACAUUUUUACAUUCUUGUACAUCUGCACUUCCUCAAUUUUCAAAAACUAAUCGUCCUUUUACUAAAUUUUUUCUCUUUCCAAAACUUUGAAAUUUUCAGGCCAUAUUUAUAUGUACCCGGUUAUUUUUAAAAACAGAGACAUUAACCAUCGUUUGCGCCCUUCAUUUAGACGCAAAUGGAGAAUUCCCCCCUGAAAACGAUGCUUUUUAAAAACACCAGCAUGGAGAGUGGAGACUUUGGAAAACUUGGUUCGCUCGUUUGCAUGUAAACAGAGAAAAACUGAGGUAAGUGGAGAUUUUGGGAGGCCGAUGUUAAAUGCGACGUUGUUUACAACCUAUGGUGAUCAUGGAUGCAUGCAGAAUAGCAGUCGCAUUUAUGCUGGUGCAAUCCCUUUGUAUUUGUUUGCAUUUACAUCUUUUCCAAAAGAAGGAGGUGACGUUGUUGUUGCUGCUAUGCGCGAUUCUUAUUGGCUAACGUGGGCUUGAGUUUCUCACUACACUGCAACCUACAGGUUUGGCAUGCUUUUGGCGACAAAUAUACACGGGUUAGUGUAAACAAAACCUUUUCUGAAAACGUAGUGCUGUGCACGCAGUUUUUUCUUUGUCAAUGUUAUGAAAAUAGCUGUGCAUGUGUAAAUGUAGUCCAAGUCUACCUCUCUCAUCAGCUGAAAAAACGAUGAAUAAUACUCAUCUUCACAAUGCAACAACUCAGGAAACUCAACCUGCUUCAGGAGCCGCCAUCACCCAGUCUGUCCUCUGCACAUCCAUCAGUGUUUGGUUUGGGUCCCCAACAGAUGGCAACAGACAAUCAAGACCAUGAACCAUCCCUCCAUCUAGGUCUUAUAUCGGUCCCAGGUCAGAGAACAAGCAGGUAAGAUCACUGCAGAACCCUCACACCCAGGACACAAACUGUUUAAUCUCCUCCCCUCAGGUAGGCAUUACAGAUCAGUGUAGACCAGAACCAGCUGACACUAAGAUGGUUUCCUCCCCCAGACUGUUGGUCUGGAGCCAAAUAUGUUGAUGUGAUAACAUAAAAUAAGUUGCAGUUCACUUUGUAUGCCUUAGGUGUCGCUGUCUUGUUAUCUGGGGCUCAGGAAUAAAGGUAGCUAUGUCACUGUUGUGGGCAGGCAAAGGUUUUUGACCACUGUGGCGCUAAAUGCCGAUGUCUUUGUUUGUUUGUUCAGUGUUGCUCGAUGUCAAUUGUAAAAUGGACUUUAGUAAAAAUGUUCGUCACAAGAAAGUUUUUAAGGAACACCAUCUGGACUUUCACUGAUCGUCAAAGACUCAUGGUCGUGUAAGAAACCAGUAGUGCGGCACGUCAACCAGGUUACUCUGGGUCAAGCAUCUCAGUAGCUUAAAGAAUCAACUCCCGAGUCCACUAACUUCUGUCCGAACUGUCCUCACUUUGUCGAACGCCCUCACUUUCAUGACACAAUUAAACUGGUCCUCACGAUGAUAGAAGUUUGUGAACACACACACACGCACGGGUUGUUUACUGGCUCCUCCAUGGUAGAGUUGAGUGCUAAUGUGUUGCUGUGGGGACUCAGAUGUGUGUAUCGCCUCAGCAGAAGGAAGUCAGCAGCUCUGCUUCCCUGAACACACACACACACACACACACUCUCUCUACGUCAUUUCUGAAUAUACCUCUGUGUGUAUAGAAGUCACACUUUGUAAGUGAAAACUUAUAAACCAAACUUUUUUAUUAGCAACUCUGAAAUUCUUUCUUACAGCUGCGUGAGAUGAUCCAAAAACACUUUUAAGAAGUCAACAAAUUGUUUAAUUCCAGCGCCGAUGAGCAAGGCAGACAACAUUUCAUCGUUUUGCCAUCCUUAGAGAACCCAUUAGCGAUCACAUGAUAACACUUGAUCUUUUCAUAAUCACUCUUAUCAAGGAAGUUUUCCUUCAGCUUCAACCUAAUCCUCGUGUCUCCAGCUGCUGCUCGGCGAGUCAAACCUCGGCCUGGAAACCCUCCGAGAUUUCCACAAUAAUCAGAAAUGUAAACGCCGAUCAGGUCAGUCCGCCACAUCGCUGAUAUGUAGCGUAAACUUAUAGCAUUAGCGCUGUAAGCCUCCUUAAGCCUAAAACAUGGCUGCUUAGUCCUCUGCUUGUUCUGAUGUUUUUCUGCCCCCUUGUGGCCGGAAAAAAAUCACUGACUGAAGCUUUAAAAUCUGAGCGUUAAAUGAAUGUCAGCGAUUUUAGCAGCUGGGCUGUUUCCAUUGUUUUGUUUUGUGCGACGGGGGUUAUUCUUAGCACCUCGCUCUGAGUGUGUGUGUGUGUGUGUGUGUGUGUGUGUGUCUGCUGCAGAACAGUGUUGUUUAACAAGCUUAGCAGGAUCAGGUGCUGAGUAAUCUGCCGGUAAUGAGGCUCACUGUGUGUGUGUGUGUGUGUGUGUGUGUGUGUGUGUGUGUGUGUGUGUGUGUGUGUGUGUGUGUGUGUAUCUUUCAAUUAUGACUGACCAAACCACACCGCUCUGCGUCUGCAGCCCCUCGCUCGGCGUGGACCACAUCCUUCAUGCGUCUCUGUUGUUGUGUCCCUCUUGUUGCACCUCCUUCCUCCCAGCAGCCGAGCAUGAGAGCACAUGAACACACACUUCUGUGAGGUAGUUGCAUGUGAACAUGCGUGCAUGAUGGCUCUCUGUGUUGGGCAGGGUUUAACUGAAUUAAGAUGACUGAGGCUGGUGCUUUUCCCAAUCGCCCCAGAUUGAGCUUUGGAGUGAAAAUCCUCCAGGGAAGCACUAAUCCCUGACUGUCGGGAGCAAUUUUUAUUCCGUAAGCAAAGCUUUCUCACUCUAUCUAGCUCGCUCCCUCUCUUGGUCUUUUGCUCUAUUUAUAGCCCUCUUAAGCUGCUCUGCGUGCCACUGUUUACAUUUAGAGCCCCCCGAUCUUUAGAUUUAGAUCCCCUCUCCUCGAUCUCUUGGUCCUCCCUCGGUCCCCUCGGACAGAUGAAUUAAAAAGCAGGAUGUCUCUAUCGACUGGCGCCCUCGCAUGAAGGAAGGGAGGAGAUGGACAGAUAGAGAGAUUAUGAGGAAGAGAGAAGAGGAGGGAAGACGAGGAGGAUGUAAAGUGACAAGCAGAUCCAAAUGUGUAUUCCAGGCGGUCAGGCAAGCUGUCUAUGUUUGGAGAAGACAGAUUGUGAAAGAGAUGAAGAAGAGGAGAAAAACCAGGAGGAGGAGGAGGAGGAUUUGUGCAGAUGAAGCUGAAUCUUCCAACAUCAAACCUUUAUUUGUGUCUGUGCAGUAAAGAUCGACUGACGAUCCUCUUAUCUCAAGAAAAAAUACUUUACUAUUUCAGCUGAAAGAAAAGGAGGGAGGGGAAUGAGUGAAAAAUGUUGAACGUCUCCUCAACUUAACAAAAAUGGGACUGAAGGUGUAACAGGUUUUCUGGACUCUCUCUUUGACAUCCUGCAGCCCCUAAAGCUCAGUAUGUGUGAUUUUUGUUGGAAUAAUGAAGUUCAUCACAUUUUAAAAUAGAAAGGAUGUC
Molecule: long non-coding RNA, 11341 nt
Filed under: Xyrichtys novacula (pearly razorfish)
Lineage: Eukaryota; Metazoa; Chordata; Actinopteri; Labriformes; Labridae
Source: RNAcentral